Molecule: long non-coding RNA, 2187 nt
Organism: Zingiber officinale
Lineage: Eukaryota; Viridiplantae; Streptophyta; Magnoliopsida; Zingiberales; Zingiberaceae
Exons: 2
Source: RefSeq, a predicted model, not a curated record
UAGGGGGUUUUCUUUUCUUUAUUACUAUGAGCGUAUCUUCUCCCUGCAGCUCUCUCCCGAUUUCCUCAAGUGGCGUCGGACGGCAGCUAUUCCGGUGGCUGCGAGCAACGGCGACGACAUCCUCUGAUCAUGCUCAACUCGCUGUAGGGGUUCUCUGGUGAGUCCCCUUCUUCCCUCGAUCCCUAGAGUCACGGACGGAGUGGUUUGUAGUGGUUAGGGCUUCAAGGAAUGAUGGCGGCAGUGAGCUCCGAUCGUCUUCACCUCACCGGAGGGGAUCUCCGGUGUGUCCUCCACCUUCUGGCGCUUUUUUGAGGUUUUUUUGCCUCCAGUGGGUUACAAGGGCAGAGGAUCCCGAAGAGGGCGACAACUGUUCAUCAACUUCUCUGGUGAAGCCACCUUCUGAGAUCCAUCACCGAGCGUGGUUGAGAACUUCUUGUGGACGUGGGUUGCGUAGGCAGUGUGUUUCUAGAAAGCUCCGGUGGCAUUUUCCUUCUCUGACAGAAGCAUUCCAGAGUUCUAUUCUUUCUCUAGCUUCAUCCAGCUGGCUCAAUUCAGUGUGGUUUGCACUGGUGUGAGCAUAGUUGACAGGGAUAGCACCUCCACUACUUCUGUUCAACUUCCAUUAGAGGGGUUCUUCGGUGGAAGAUUUGUCCACUGUCAUGGUAGAAGCAAGCACAGCCAACAUCUUUAUUGCUGUCCACCAGCUCUAGGGGUUUCAGAUCUAGGUUCUUCGUGUGAUGGCGAAGAGUAGUCAGAUUGGAGUUGAUUGUGGAAAAGGGAGAUUGGUUAUUUAGGAUUUAUUUAUUGUUCUUAUUUAAUUUUAUAAUUAAGUUCUUAUGCUUGUUUGAUUGUUUCAUGUUAUUUGGUAUCUUAUUUUCAUGUUUCAUCUAUUGUUAUUUCCUUAUGAUUCAUGUUAGACUGUUUAGUUUUGGUAUUGUAUUUAGUUUUAUUAUGCAUGAUUGUUAAUUCUGUAUCAUAGUAUGACAAUGUGAUGUAGGUUAUCAAUUAUGCAUAGUUAGGUUUUGUUUAGUCGCGGUUAAGUUUUUUUAGUUUAAUUGCACUUGUUUUACUAUUGUUUUUCUCUUACGAAUGUUUGUGCUAUUUGUUCUGUUUUCUUUUAUGUCAUGUCUAUUGAUAGACGCGCUUGUACCGUAGGAUGAUAAUGUGGUGUAGGUUUGUCUUCAAUGGUUAGAUAAGAUUUUAGUUUCAUUUCUGGCAUGUUAUUUCAGUUUAUGGUUCUAUCCAUAGUGUAAAGUGACACAACGCUUGGGGUUCAUCAUUGCUUGUUAGUUAUGAUUUCAUUUAUUGCAUUAGAUUUAUAGAACAAAAACCCUAACAAAAACCCCCUAGUUCUAUUUGAUAUAAAAACAAAUUGUUUUUGUAGAAAGCACUAGACGAUCAAACCUAAGUUUUGAUUAUGGAAAAUGGUUCAAAGUUCACUUGUCUUAUUGUCUAAUAAGUUGAAUUAAGUGUGCAGGAAAGUCCUAGCUGCAGUUAGGCAACGAAGUCCUAGUCUUGGGGACUGGGCGAAGUCUUGGCGGAUCGAGGACUUUGGGUGAAAUCCUAGAGUCGAGGACUCUAGGUGGAAAUCCUGGGUUGCGAACACCAGCGGAAGUCUGGACAGGUCAUGGAGCAGAUGUUUAGCAUGAAGUCCUAAAGUCUCGGACGCUGAGCAAAAAUUCAGACCGUCUGGAAGAUUAGUCUAGCAAAAGGUACUUUCUCCUGAGAGGAAUAGAAAUAGAAGUUGAUAGAAAAUGGUGGUUUGGGCACUCGGAUGACCAAAACUCAUCUUUUCGCCGAACUGGAGCGUGAGGGUUGGUUGGGCUAAUGUCAUAGUCCGAGCGCCCUAGGGUGAUCCUGGCGCUCGGAAGUAGAUAACAUUUGCUGGAUUGAGUUUCGACGAGAGUACACCAUAUUAGCGCGAUCUAGGCGCCCAGGAGGGGAUCUAGGCGCCCGGAACAUGCUAUAAAACAAUGCUUCGACUAGUGGCUUCAACAUAACAUUCCGAAUAACUUUCACUUCUUCAUGCUGUUCAGAAAACGCCUCCUCAAUGCUCGAAUGCUGCUUUGACGAUGACUGUACUAAAGACCUAAUCCUCCCAGUCGUUGGUAUUGCUUUUAUUCAACUUACUUGUGUUUAAAUUGUAAUAAUCUAUUAUAAUUUUUUAAUUAAUUAAUAUUUGUCCAA